CCCGGAAAGGGUGCGGAAACUUUUUCAGUUAAACUUCCCGAGGUAGGUGGACAGACUACUGCUCCCAGGAUCCUUAGCGCUAACAGGCGGGGGCGGAGUGCGGGGCUCCCGCGCAUGGCUCGCUGGGUAGUGUAGUUCUCUGCGGCCCCAGGCUGAAGGAACUGCGUACGCGGGGAAAUGCCGUUCGUCGUGGCCCAAUGCGGCUAUCCCUCUGAGAGGAUCCUGAAAUGUUGCUCCCAAGUCUCCCAGGAGCCUUCUCUUCUCCAGGCUGAACAGCAGCAGCUCUCUCAGCCUGUCCCCGUAAGGAAAAUGUUCCAUCCUUUGGAUCUUUUCUGUGGCCCUCCUCUGGAUGCACUCUGACAGGUCCACAUUUCUGCUGUACUGAGGACUCCACAUCUGGACUCCAGUGCUCCAGCUUGCCUGUUCAGAUGAUGAGCUUGGCCUUCCCUACUGACUGAAUAAAUGAGAAAGAAGCAUGAUUCCAUCAAUUCCAAGCAAGGACAGUAGGAGAAAUUCUGAAAUUACCAAACACUGCUAUAAGACCUGCAAGUGCAAAAGCACAAUGUUAGGCAACAGAAUUACUCGGCUGGCCAAGUGAGGUGUCUGUGGUACCUCCCAGAAGAGUGCUGGUGGAUGAGAUCUGCAGAUGAGUAUACGAUCAUAAAAAGCACAGGUCAUGGCCCUAUCACAACUCGUAUCUCCCUCUAGAGGGACACUGUUGUCAGGGGCAGAGAAAUUCCUGCAUCUCUUCAGCCCUGGGUGCUGCUGAGAUGGAAGAGAGGAGAGAGGAGUGUUUUAUUCCCUUUGGAAAAUCAGGGGGAGAAGUUUCUCCAGCACACGGCUCAAAGCACUUAGCUUCUCAGCACUGCCCUUGGGGAACCAGUCUGUUUCUGCUGCCUGUAGAGAUGGGCAGACAAGUUGGCCAAGGUAAAUACCCACCUCACUGGACUCUUUGGUAUUUAGAUACAUGUAUAAGAACAGUAUUAUACAAAAUAACAUCUAAACAAUACUUCUCUAACUCACUAUCAGUGCAGCAAACAGGAAUGCUGUUCUUCCCCCUCCUCCUCCUCAUUUCAUUUGUACAACUGCCACCCUGGGUAUUGUAACUGCUUGGUUACUACUGAAAAUUUAGGCAGUAUCCACGUAUGGUGCACCUGCUGUUUUGAUAAGUUUGUCAGGCAUGUCCACGAAGACUACCCCUACUGUGCUGGCCUAAUGGCAUUAGGGUACCACUGACACUUCUGAUCCACUCCAGCUGCUCUUGGCAUUACUCCAAGAAAGGCAUCUCUAAUGGGGAGGCAUGUUAGAGAAGUUGAACAAAAGGAAAGGCACUGGCAUCUUCUUAUCAAAAUGUGACGUGCUUGUUCCAGCUGACACCUCAGAAUUGCUUAGGUUAUAGUGUUAUUACUUAAAUUACCCAAUUGUGGAAGCAGUAAAUACAGUUCUGGGAACAACAUGGUCUGGGUGGAAUUAAGUGCGAAACACCUCCUACACAGCAAGAUACCUGCCUCUGGAUGGAUGGAGUGCAUGUGGGAGAUACUGCUUACUGCCAGUUGACAUGUGAAAUUAUGACUACUAUUUGUCACUCUUUCAGUCAUAAAGCAAGUUGCUGAACGUUUUGCAGGAAAGAGAUGUACCUUGCCCCCAAAUAGAUGCACUUGGGACACUUACAAUGAAGUCUGCAAUCUAUUACGUGAUUGCCUUUCCCUGGCUGAGAAUACCAACCUGAACCUGUGCUGUAAAAUUAAGUGCAUCAUAACCUGCUCUAGAGCAUCUGACCUCCUCAGAUGUCAUUAAAAGCAAGUGAAGCAUUUCAGCAUGUCUAUAGGGUCCACGUAAUGCAGGACACAGAUUGGGAAUCUCAUGGCUAUCAGCCUCUCAGCGCCAGUUGCGUAUCCCAACACACUUUGCAAUAGCAAGUUUUUAGGGUCUGAUGAAGCAGAAAUAGACAGAGGCAUAUUGCUUUAGGAAAAGUGGGAAGGUAAUUUAGCUGUCAGGACAAAUAAGGUGGGGGGCGAUUUAUAGCAUUAAGUGGAAUAGGAGAGAAAAGGGAAGUCAAAUAUGAUCUUCAGUUUAAUCAGCCAGAAGGAAAGAGAAAAAAUGGUGUUGUUGGGUGUAUUAGUUAACGGAGGUAAUAGCAAGAGUUUAAAGGAAAGUGACUGCUCUGGGAAGCUCAAUCUGAAAAGUACAGUUUCUGAGCUGCCUGAGUGGAAAUUCAAAUAACAUUUUAAGCAACAGUAAAUAGAUGAAAGGCAUAAGUGAAUUAUAGAAUAGUGCCCCUGAUAUGAACUGAGGUCUGCCAAUGUGGAUAAAUAAUAAACGUAGUUUGCGCUCUCCAAAAGAAACAAUGAUCAAACUGAGACCUCAGAAAGAUGGUGAAGGUGCAAGAAGACAGAUGCUAGCAAGAUGUACAGGAUAGUUUCAAUUCUGCCUUAGCCAAAAAUCAUCAGUUGAUAGGAAAAAUAAAAUCUGGAGAAGGAUUCCAAAAUAUUGGAACAAUUGAGAAGAAGAAGAGGGUACCUUCAGAGAGGGAAACACUCAGGAGAGCGCCCAGAGAGGUGAAAACAAGUUACAGAAAGAAAACGGAAAUGUGGUGGGAGAUGAAAAAGAAGUAAAAUUUUGUACGCUCAUGCAGGUGGAAAUAAUUUGAAAGCAGUUUCCACGGAGACAAAGGAUAUGAGAUGGAAGUAAGUGGGGAGGGAAAAAUUAAUGUGAGAGAGGUGUGUAAACAGGAGGGAGUGAAAAGAAAUGGAGCAGGAAAGGCAGAUGAGCCUCGGAGAAUGUAUUUCAUGAAGACAAGAGUGUUACUGAAACUGGAAUUAAGGUAGGUGAGGAAGAAGGAAAUGUUUAUGGAUCAGGCUAGAGAGAGCUGAAGAAGUUGGAGCUGGUUUUAAGGCCUGAAAUGAGAAGCAUGAUAAGUUAAUUCAAACCAACUUAAGAGUUGCACAGAUUCAGAAAGAGCAGAAAAAAAUAGGAAGAUCUACUUUUGCACGUAGGGAGUUCUUCAACCAGAAUGUUUUCAGGUUAAUUCCCAUCUGAUGUCCAUUCUGCAUUAAGCUGACCAUGGCAGCAUCUUCUUGCAUCUAAAAUCUGGGCAGUGGUUUGGUAGUCAAGGAGAAGCAAUGUGCCCAUGGCCUUGAGCAGAGAGGUAAGAACUCACUGCAUGAUGGAGAGCAGAACUCAUGGAAGGCUUUCUGGAAACCAACAGGCAAAGUGCUUCUUAGAGACUGAGAAAGCCAUUGGAGUGGCCGUCAGCUGCAACUCACAGAACUAGAUUGCCAGAGAUGUUAGAACAGCUUCCAAUGGACAACAGCCUAUUCCCCACCCUACCCAGUCAGGAUUUCCCUGAUUUAUUCCAUUAAGGACUCUAUGCAGCAGCCAGCACGGAAAAUAUCCAUUUGACCUUACUCCUUCCUAACAUCAAUGCACAAAUAAUAGCUUGGAGGCAGAGAAGUGCCACUUGCUGGCCUCCAGCUGGAGGACUCCAUGCUGGGGCACAGCCAGGGUGAGGAUGCAAAAGGAAAAAUGUGCCACCCGUAAAUCCCAUUGUACGAUCAGCCCCAAGUGCCAACAGUCAGCAGCAUGAAUGUGCCACACUGCUAGUGCUGCCAUGACCAAAGCAAGGUGCUAAAUUGCUCUGCUUUAGCUGAAAUCACUGAUAUAUCUGACUAAAAAAUACAUGAUUAUAACUGCUCCUUUGUGUGCCUUUCCAUGUUCAUUUGAAAGAAGUAUGGCAGAAUAUAAAACACAGCAACAUCCCCCAAGCCCAGAGGGUUUAAUGAAGAAUUAAGGAGAUUGUAACUGCAUAGCUGAAAUAAUAAGGAGGAAAUUGAAUUAUUCCACCCAUAUUAAAUGCAUAUAUUCUUGAGUGUUUCUGCCAAAAUUACUCUGCUAACCCAUGGUGUGAAAUACAGUCUGUUUUCACAUGGGUGCAUUAAACAAAGAUGCCUGCUACAGUACAACAGCUUUGAAGAGAAUGGAAAGGCAUCAGGAUGAAAAAGCACUCCUGACGUAUGGUUAUAUCAACUCUAAAUUGUCUCACAGCUGUUUCUAGCUCCAUUAGAUGGAAGACUGGGUAAUUUAUAGAAGUCAUUUUUAACAAUUUGAUUGUUGGUAUAUAUCUGCUGAAUUGAUUGGCUGGGAAGACAGAUCUUUAUUUUAUAAUAGCAAUAACAUCCUUUGCAGAUUACUGCUCAAUUUAUCCCUGAUAUUAACAGUGCUAGCCAUCAACUAUUCAUUUAUAUUAUGCUGUUAUUUCUUAAUUAUCAGUAUAAUUGUAGAGGAGAGCCCAGGAUCCAUAAGACUAGCUGGGCUGGACAAGAAACCACAGAAGCUGGGACUCGUUCCUUUCUGAUAUGCUCACAGCUUUGGCUGAGAUCAACAGGAAUUAAACACUCAGGUUUGGAGUUUUGUUCAGAAGUUUGCUAAUCUUCUGUGAGCUAGAGUGAUAUUUCCCACUGAAGUCAAUGAGAAUUCUGUUCGGAUGAGAACGAUAUAUGUAGUGUACCCCAGUUCUGCAUCUAAUGAUGCUGGAGGCAAUUGUCCUGGAAAAGAAUGAGCUUCCUUCAAAUCAGAAGUCUGUGAUAGGCACAUAGGGACACUCAUAGAUGACCAGACCAUCAGGCCAUGUAACUCUUAACUGUUGUCUUUGAGGGCAGCCAGUAGUGGUUGGCUCCAAGGAGGCUUAGCUGUGACCUACUAUACAUCUUGGGAAGAGUGUGUUCCCAGCCUUUCAGAAUGAGGACAUGGCUUAUACACUGAAGCUUGAAUAUAUAUAUUCUUUCCCGAGUUCUUCUGGAAAUCUGUGUUUAUUUCAAACAUGUUAUGUUAACUUCUGUGUGUAUCCACUACUGUGUUUGAGUGCAGAUUAACUAAUAAAUCCUUGAUGAA
This is a non-coding RNA of Meleagris gallopavo (turkey), 4890 nucleotides long. The record is from RefSeq and is a predicted model, not a curated record. Lineage: Eukaryota; Metazoa; Chordata; Aves; Galliformes; Phasianidae.